ACGUCUCCUUCUUCUGAGCUCUCUCAUCUUUCCGUUGCCGUUGCAGCGUUGCCUUGGACACGCUCGCGUCUGAGCUCCCCCGACCCCUUUCUCUCCCUCUAGCACCUCCAAGAGCACCCGAGACCCUCCGUGGACUCGUCCCUCUCGUUCCUCCAUCCUCCUGGUGGCCAGAGUGCCCCAACCGCGGCCGACCCCUACAGCCUCUGACAUAGCCGUGGCCCCCUUCUCCGGCGCUUCCCCGGUGGAGUUAGCAUCCCAUACGAGUGCAGCCCUUCGCCCCACGGCCGUCGGCGGCCGGGCGGUCGCUAGAAGUGGCGAGAGCCCCGGAGGCAGGCGCCGGCCGCACUGGAUCGAAUUCCCCUGCAUCUCCCCUAUGCUGGCAGGAGGUAGGGGGUGAACCUGACGGGUGGGGCCCUCCUGGAAGCCCCCCCAUCGGUCGGGCCCGCCGUGUUAAGUGGAGACGGCUUCUGCAGGGUACGCCUCCCCGCACAUGAAGCGUACUCAGGAGAGUACGCCUUCGGCAUGGCCAACCUCCUGCGCGCCAGGCCGAGCCGCUGGGCCGACCCAGUUCCUCCCCAAUGCCCUGGGCGCGUUAUAACCAAUAUGAUAUAACCCCCUUUUCUCCUUCUAAUUUGUUCAGAGACUAUAAAUUUUAUAAACAAUUCAUUUGAUCCCCAAAUAUAAUGAUUCAAAUUUCCGGUGACUCCUAAAAUCCUUGCCUAUCCAAAUAUGUGCUUUUCAAUUUUUCAAAAAAUAUUUUUGUAGAGAUUUAAUGCAAGUUUGAAUCUGAGUUAUUCAAACCCCACCUUGCAAAAUUUCUGCACAACUCAAAUCAACUCCAAAUGGAGUGAUUCCAAUUUCUAGAUUCUUAUAAAAUCUUGAUCUAAUUUUAUAGCCUUAGUCAGCAUUUUUAUUUGCUAUAUUUAUGUUGCAUCAAAUAAAUAGCCCCUUUUUUUCUAUUUGUUCCAUGUUAGAAAAUCCAUAGGAAAUUCAUACCAACUCCAAAUCCAGUGAAACCACUUAUUUUUAGCAGAAUAUUUUCUAUAGACUUCUUAUAGGAUCACCUAUUCCUCGUUUCGUCCAUUCAAAAAUCUUAGAUGAUCCAAAUCUCCUAGAAUAAGCUUCGGGUAUUUUUCUUAUGAUCACAAAGGUCCAAGGAAAAUAAAAAUUCCUACUUUUAGAGCACUUUUGUUUCUGCUUGUUUUGUGGCUUACUCUGGUUGUUUCCGACGAUGGUUGACAGAAUAGACGGAGUACUCAGAGUUGGACCGGAAGACCUCGAAGACCCUCGGAGACCUAUUAUAGCAAGGCAAGCAGCGCUUUGACCACGUCUGAGAAAAUGUUUUAUGCAUGACAUGUUGAUUACUUUAUUCCGAUGCAUAUGGUCAUGAUUAAUCAGUACACCCAAGUAUGGUGUUAUCGAUGGCUACUUCGAAGCACAUGCACUGAGCAUGACCUUACCAUUUGUGAAGGUCACGCUGAUAAAAGUUGAGAAGUAGAUAGUAGUGCUACGCAUAUGAUGAGGAUAUGCAUGGUGAUGGUAACACAAAUGUGAUUACAAAGGUUUUAUGAAUACCCCGUCGGGUGCUACUAAUGCCCGAGGGUGAUGGUGUUGAGCUGGAUGGCCACGUGAGGAACCAGUGGUGUACCGGAAAGGUUCAUGUGAGUGGUUUUGAAAUUGGGAUUAGAGUUAAGAUUUGCUGACCAUCCCAACCUUACAUGUGCGAUGACGAUACCCCUUUAUAGGACGGGGCUUUGUUGAUUACUCUCGUCGUGCUAGCAAGGAGCCCGCAUUGCCAGUGGAGGGAGUGAUAUGGUCACUCUCGUGACGGGGUCAUGCCAGGUAGGGAAACUAUGCCGUUUUUACAUGUUCGGGGCACACCGUUGGUCCCUACAUGGGUGAUAUGGUCUAGAGUCGGUGCUCGUAAGACGUACAUCAUGUGGGAUGGUUACCUAUCGAGUGGACUGUUUGUCUAGUGUCAUCACGGAAAAGGCAUUGAUCGGGUACUUACCUCGGUUAUGUUAUAUACCGUGAGUCGUGGAUGACGCGGAAGUUUCCUGGAUCUUGUGGAUACAGCGUGCAACCUGUGUAGAGUGUAAAGCUAUUCGAAUAGUCGUGUCCACUCUCAAGGAUAGUUGGGUAAUCCUGCUUAGACUAUGGCCAGUCAUUUCCGCAUAAACCAAGUGUGCGUGUGUAUAAAUGUGUUACACGAGAAAGUGAUUACUUGGUCAAGUUUGGUGACUUGGCAUGGAGGGUGAACAUGAGGUGUUCAUCCCUCAGAAUAUUUAUGUUGAUAUAUGUAACCUGUUCUUAUGGUUACUAUUUACCUAGUGAUACAUGAUCAUCUAAAUACUUGACCAUGUUUAUGCAUUAAUAAAAGUUGCUUUCUACAAAUGUUGCAUUAUACUACAUAUUGCACUCAAAUACAUAAUCCGCAUCAUGGGCUCUUUGCGAGUACAUUCAAAGUACUCAUUGGCUUGACACUGGUUAUUUCAUUGACUAGGUAAGAGAGAACAGGAGAUGGUGAAGAGUACCUUGGUGACGUUCCUGUGAGCUAGGACGCUUCCCAGUGAGAAUGCCUAUAGGUUAAGGCUGGUGGCAUCGGUUCAUGCUUUCGACCCAUAUUUCCACUAUUGGUCAAGUUUGUUGUAUUGGCCUCCAAGGCCCUAUCUACGUAAGACUUGACCGCAAGGUCAGUCUUUGUAUCAGACAGUAUGUAUGGAUGUAAGACUCUUGUUAUUCAGUUUAUGUGUGUUCCCUGAGCAUUGAUCUCUGGGAUCACUGAGCACAUUCAUUCGGCGAUCUCGACUCGUAAGUCGGUGUCCCCAUAGAGCUGGUAUCAAAGCCAUCCUGACUGUAGGAAUCCCUUAGUUAGCAUAGACGUUAG
RNAcentral lists this long non-coding RNA (2887 nucleotides) under Hordeum vulgare. RNAcentral's name for it is "long non-coding RNA (HVUL_LNC012535)". The record is from RNAcentral. Lineage: Eukaryota; Viridiplantae; Streptophyta; Magnoliopsida; Poales; Poaceae.